This 585-nucleotide ribosomal RNA is filed under the name uncultured Bacilli bacterium. Its description in RNAcentral is "bacterial SSU rRNA". It matches the Rfam family "Bacterial small subunit ribosomal RNA", at positions 48 to 614 of the family's 1533-position model. Lineage: Bacteria; Bacillati; Bacillota; Bacilli. The record is from RNAcentral.
CUAAUACAUGCAAGUAGAACGCNUGAAGAGAGGAGCUUGCUCUUCUUGGAUGAGUUGCGAACGGGUGAGUAACGCGUAGGUAACCUGCCUUGUAGCGGGGGAUAACUAUUGGAAACGAUAGCUAAUACCGCAUAACAAUGGAUGACACAUGUCAUUUAUUUGAAAGGGGCAAUUGCUCCACUACAAGAUGGACCUGCGUUGUAUUAGCUAGUAGGUGAGGUAACGGCUCACCUAGGCGACGAUACAUAGCCGACCUGAGAGGGUGAUCGGCCACACUGGGACUGAGACACGGCCCAGACUCCUACGGGAGGCAGCAGUAGGGAAUCUUCGGCAAUGGGGGCAACCCUGACCGAGCAACGCCGCGUGAGUGAAGAAGGUUUUCGGAUCGUAAAGCUCUGUUGUAAGUCAAGAACGAGUGUGAGAGUGGAAAGUUCACACUGUGACGGUAGCUUACCAGAAAGGGACGGCUAACUACGUGCCAGCAGCCGCGGUAAUACGUAGGUCCCGAGCGUUGUCCGGAUUUAUUGGGCGUAAAGCGAGCGCAGGCGGUUUGAUAAGUCUGAAGUUAAAGGCUGUGGGUCAACC